GACGAACGCUGGCGGCAUGCCUAACACAUGCAAGUCGAGCGAGUUGAUUCCUUCGGGAUGAAGCUAGCGGCGGACGGGUGAGUAACACGUGGGCAACCUGCCUCAUAGAGGGGAAUAGCCUCCCGAAAGGGAGAUUAAUACCGCAUAAGAUGGUAAUACCGCAUGGUACAGCAAUUAAAGGAGCAAUCCGCUAUGAGAUGGGCCCGCGGCGCAUUAGCUAGUUGGUGAGGUAAUGGCUUACCAAGGCGACGAUACGUAGCCGACCUGAGAGGGUGAUCGGCCACAUUGGGAUUGAGACACGGCCCAGACUCCUACGGGAGGCAGCAGUGGGGAAUAUUGCACAAUGGGGGAAACCCUGAUGCAGCAAUGCCGCGUGAGUGAUGACGGCCUUCGGGUUGUAAAGCUCUGUCUUCGGGGACGAUAAUGACGGUACCCGAGGAGGAAGCCACGGCUAACUACGUGCCAGCAGCCGCCGCAG
RNAcentral lists this ribosomal RNA (478 nucleotides) under uncultured bacterium. RNAcentral's name for it is "partial 16S ribosomal RNA". It matches the Rfam family "Bacterial small subunit ribosomal RNA", at positions 28 to 523 of the family's 1533-position model. The record is from RNAcentral.